This 253-nucleotide ribosomal RNA is filed under the name uncultured bacterium. RNAcentral describes it as "partial 16S ribosomal RNA". It matches the Rfam family "Bacterial small subunit ribosomal RNA", at positions 524 to 776 of the family's 1533-position model. The record is from RNAcentral.
UACGUAGGCAGCAAGCGUUGUUCGGAGUUACUGGGCGUAAAGAGUGCGUAGGCGGUGUCGAAAGUUUGGCGUGAAAUCUCCCGGCUUAACUGGGAGGGUGCGCCGAAAACUGCGGUGCUGGAGUGUGGGAAAGGCAAGCGGAAUUCCUGGUGUAGCGGUGAAAUGCGUAGAUAUCAGGAGGAACACCGGCGGUGUAGACGGCCUGCUAGACCAUAACUGACGCUGAGGCACGAAAGCGUGGGUAGCAAACAGG